CCCCCCCCCCCCCCCCCCCCCCCCGCAGGCCGCGCCGCGGAACAAAAGGCACCUUUUCUCACUCCAUGUUGUCUCGCCUAAACCCCGAGCCUGCGAGGCACCUCUUGCCCGGCCGCGCGCCCCCAUCUCCCCCCCAGUUCCCCUGCGCUGCCCCCAUCCUGCCUUUUCCUGAGGGCGCUCCGGGAAUCCCAUUUUCAGGGCGGCGGGUAGCCUUUGUCCUCAGCUGAUCCCUGCGCGGCUGAAGGGUAAACCCCAAGCUAACCUCUCCCUACGCGACCCGGCUUUACUCGGUGUCGGAAACGCAGCGGAGGAUGCGGCGCCCCGUUACGAGCAGCCGGCGGGGACUGCUAAAAGCCUGAGAGCGCCCUGAAAGCCGGGGAGGGGGAAGCGACCCGCCGCCGGCCCCUCCAGAUUAAAGGCGUGUUUAUUCCCUACCCUUCUUCCCAAGUACAUCAGAUCAACUUCUGCUCAUAUUUUACAAAAUUAGAUAAUUCAGCCCUAAGCCGUGCUUAGCCAUGGAUUUCAGGCUGGAAAAUGGAAGCUCUGGAAACGGAUGUUCUGCACUGCAUGAACUACUGAAACAGAAAUUCUCAAGUAAUCCUAAUUGCAGCUAUCUUAAAAAGUUCUGUAUAAUACAGUGCUUGUCUUGUAACCAUUUUGAACACUUCUGAUUUUUCAUUUAUGUUAAUAAUCAGCUGUAUUUUCUCUUUUCAUCCCAACAGAAGCUAUAGAAGAAUCCUCAAAUGAUCGAUUCUCACUUAAGGGGUUGCCUUCUUUCCCAUCCCUCCCUCUCCCCACCCAAAAAUAGGUCAGUUUAGAAAACAAGGAGAUGGACUCAUAUUAAACCAUAGUGAAUGUGACCUGAAAGAGACAGGCACAAGUUCAGCAUAAUAUUCUGACAACUCCCAGCAAGCUUGACACAAGGAUAAAUACAAACUGUUCCUUGUAAGUCAUGUAAUUGUUAGUUAACAUGAUUCUUCAAGGUUACACUGUACUUGGAUUAUGUUUUUAAAAUGAAGAUGCACAGAAAAACACCAAUGCAUUGCAGAGUUCGGAUAUGAAGAAGCCGGAACAAACCCCAAAUUAUUUCCAUCAAAUACUUCCGUGUUCAUAUAAGGUAAACUUGCUUCUCUGAUGACAGAAAUAUUUUAGGAAGAAAAUAUGUUCUGAUUAUCAUCUUCAGGGCACUUUCAGUGAUGUUUUAUGGCAGUGAUUUAAAACAAAAUCUUAGUCAUUCAACAUUUUAACUGAAAAUUGCAUAUUAUGCAAGCAGUUUAUCAAACCCAUUGAGAUACCUACCUAAUAAUAAUGUAAUAAUAAAUAAUGAUAGUACUUAAAGAGGUUUUCAUCUACAGAUCUCAAACCAUACAGCAAAGGCAAAUAAGUAUUAGUAUUGUCAGACCUAAUUGAAAUGUUAGGAGCAUUGAGAUUAAAUAUAUGAAGGCAAUAGAAAGUUAGAUGAAGCAUCCUCAAGAGAGUUGUAUUUCCCAAGUGGAGCUGGGUGCAGAGACUUGUUAUGAUGAUGGCUGGUGACAGCUCAUUGCAUGGCAGGAGUCAGAGUGGUGCUUGCAGAGUUGGGAGCCAGGCAGAAGAUCUUGCACUGUAGCAGAGUUAAGCAAGUACGAUACAAGUGAUGCCCUUUGAAUUUGUACCAGGACCUACUUCACCACACACUGACUGAAGAUUGCCACAGGAGAAAGAAAACCUGCAUGGUGCGUUAUUAUCUUUGUGUUCACAUGUGCAUAUGCAAUCACUUUCCUUUCUCAAUCUGAGCCAUGUUGGUGCUGUCAGUGGCUGAGAGCAUGCAGACUUCGUUAACCGCACCACCAUUUGAUGCUUUAUCAUGGCCAGAUCUACAGGCAAGCCUCACCGGGUCACUUAUCCUUCAAGUUCCAGAAAUUUUUUAUAGUAUCCAGGUAAUAAGAAGAGCCUAUUGCUGUUAACCACAAUCGCCUCAUCCAUCCAGCCACAAGCACAGUCAGCCUUUAAACCUGGCAAUGUUUAUUUCUGUGUUUUGUGGCUUUGUUUUGUUUCUGCCUCCCUGGCUGUAAAUGAAAUCCCUUCAGCCCAGCACAAAGCAUAUUCAUCACCAAAGGCCUACAUUGCUGGCUUUAGGACUGUAAAUCAUCUGCUCAUGUACAGAGGCCCAGAUAGCUCUCCUUGAGUGCUUACAGCCCAAGAUUGUUCCCACCACAGAUGCAGGUACAGUGGGUAAGAGCCAUGUGUAGGGAACGACGAUUCAAGUUCAGCAUUGCUUCGCUUAAUUUCUUCAUGUCUUCUCCUGUAACAGCAACCCUUACCCUGAAUAAAGCAGACAGGGUGUCUACGUAGCGUCAUGGGAGAGAGAGGUACCCAAAAGGCAGGUAUUGAUGGCAUUUCAGAGCCAGGCGGGCUGGGCCUCUGUGGGACGCUCCACAACGUGGCAUGCUGAGGCAGUCUCAGGCCUCUAGCUGCUGGUGGGGUUUCUUCUCGCAUUAGACAUCAAGGAUGAGAAUGUUUUUUUCUUACAUAGUGUGCUUUCUUUCUCUAAAGACGCAAGUCUGCAGCUCUUUUCUACUUGAUUUGGAGCAAGAUUCGGCAGGAGCUUUGCUAUUUCUUUGGGUCAGACCUUUCCCACUUUGCAUAAAUAAAUAUUCACUAGAGCAGGGACUCCAAUCUUGGUUUUCCACCCACUGAUGACCUGAAUCAAAGUGGCAGAGAGACCUUUUAUCUUGGUGCUGUUUUAUGUAAGGCCUGUGAAGUAUGGUCUGAUCGCCUGCUGCAGAAGGCCAAGGAGCAUGAAGCAUGCUGGUGUCAGGAUUUUAGUUGAGAGGCCAGCUCAACUCAGCACUGGAAAUGCAGGUAAUUCAAAAAUGUUGGCAAUGGUAAUAUAGGCUUCUUCACUCACAGGUGGCAAUUAGGCAUGAAUUUUAAGUAUCUUAUCUAUCAAUUAGAUAUGUGAAUCUGCAGAUACCUGUAAUGGUAGUCAUUCAGCUGUAGAUGGCAAAAAUUAGACUUUCACAUUUAAGCUAAUUAUUUCCCUUAAUAAUCACUUUCAGGGGGCUUUCACGGAAGACAAAUUGCACUCUGGAAGUGCUCCUUUCCCUCCAUUGGCUCUAAAUGGGGCCUACAGUGACUAGCCCUAUCUUUUAGAUGCCUAAAGUCUGUGGUCCUCCCUUCUAGGCUUAUCUGUGAGUCCUUCUCACUGUUCCUAUUAGUUUGGGUAGAAGUGAGAAUUAAAGAUUAUUAUUAUGUUGGUUAGUGUGAAUGAUCUAUUUGAAAACAGAAGCAGACUACAAAACUGUAAGAUUUGCCAUCCCAGACCAAUCUGGCCACAAAGGGUAGCGCUUGUGGUGUGCAACUGGUUACUGCAGGGUGCCUCAAAGGGAGAACAAAAGUGCCCUAUAAAGCAUUUUACUUGUUUUAUGUAAAGCACAAACAAUUUAUGGAAAUGACAUUUAACUGAUUAUUCAAUGUCCAAUUAUGUAUCACACCUAGAAUAAUUCCUGAAGCUGGAGAAAUAAAACGCUGAAUGACUCCAUUUAGGAAAUCCUUUUGACUCAAGUGCUUUCCUUGAAACAGCAAAUAGCUGGAUGACCUCAAGCACAUAUUUAAUUGUGCCUUGUAAUAAAGUAAUGUAAUUAGCGCUUGCUUAAGAAUGACGCUUAAAAAUACCUAACAGGUACUACAGAAAUGCAUUGAUUUGAGAGGUUUUGUUUUCUUUUGACUUUUUUUAGUAUAAUUUUUUUAGUAUAAGAUAAGUUUGCAUCUGAAUUUAGCUUCUACAUGAGUUCUCCAAAUGGUUCCUCAGAGUGUGAAGAAGUGAGCAGUUUUAUUUGACAACAAAUCACUAAUGGCUCCAGGGUUCUCCUCGCUUAGAGGAUAAAAUUAAGCUUGCAGGAGGGCAGUAAAGGCACAUAUUUAGCCAGACUUGCACAGUGCCCUGGCCAGGCACACAGCCCAGCACAUAUGCCACUUAGAGCUACUCAAGUGAGGGAGGUCUGAGUAAAUACAUGGAGAAGAAGAGACUCCCAAUCUCCCCCUCCCUUUUUUUUUUCUUUAUUUUUCUCUACCAGAUGCUACCACUAGUAGUGGCAGUUUUGGUGACACUGACCUAUAUAUCACUUCACAGUGGUUUACGUUCUGCUGGCAAUAGAAACAGAGCACAGGUGAGCAGAAUAAUAAAAAUGAUGAAAACAAAA
Long non-coding RNA from Dromaius novaehollandiae (emu), 4181 nucleotides. RefSeq lists it as uncharacterized. The transcript has 2 exons. The record is from RefSeq and is a predicted model, not a curated record. NCBI's taxonomy places the organism in Eukaryota, Metazoa, Chordata, Aves, Casuariiformes, Dromaiidae.